Molecule: ribosomal RNA, 254 nt
Filed under: uncultured bacterium
Lineage: Bacteria
Description: partial 16S ribosomal RNA
Rfam family: Bacterial small subunit ribosomal RNA
Source: RNAcentral
UACGAAGGGGGGCUAGCGUUGCUCGGAAUCACUGGGCGUAAAGCGCACGUAGGUGGAUCGCUAAGUCAGGGGUGAAAUCCUGGAGCUCAACUCCAGAACUGCCUUUGAUACUGGCAAUCUCGAGUCCGGGAGAGGUGAGUGGAACUGCGAGUGUAGAGGUGAAAUUCGUAGAUAUUCGCAAGAACACCAGUGGCGAAGGCGGCUCACUGGCCCGGUACUGACGCUGAGGUGCGAAAGCGUGGGGAGCAAACAGG